This 519-nucleotide ribosomal RNA is filed under the name uncultured bacterium. RNAcentral describes it as "bacterial SSU rRNA". It matches the Rfam family "Bacterial small subunit ribosomal RNA", at positions 991 to 1509 of the family's 1533-position model. The record is from RNAcentral.
GAGAAUUUAGCAGAGAUGCUUUAGUGCCUUCGGGAACUCUGAGACAGGUGCUGCAUGGCUGUCGUCAGCUCGUGUUGUGAAAUGUUGGGUUAAGUCCCGNAACGAGCGCAACCCUUAUCCUUUGUUGCCAGCACGUAAUGGUGGGAACUCAAAGGAGACUGCCGGUGAUAAACCGGAGGAAGGUGGGGAUGACGUCAAGUCAUCAUGGCCCUUACGAGUAGGGCUACACACGUGCUACAAUGGCGCAUACAAAGAGAAGCGACCUCGCGAGAGCAAGCGGACCUCAUAAAGUGCGUCGUAGUCCGGAUUGGAGUCUGCAACUCGACUCCAUGAAGUCGGAAUCGCUAGUAAUCGUAAAUCAGAAUGUUACGGUGAAUACGUUCCCGGGCCUUGUACACACCGCCCGUCACACCAUGGGAGUGGGUUGCAAAAGAAGUAGAUAGCUUAACCUUCGGGAGGGCGUUUACCACUUUGUGAUUCAUGACUGGGGCGAAGUCGUAACAAGGUAAGCGUAGUGCU